Molecule: ribosomal RNA, 492 nt
Filed under: uncultured bacterium
Lineage: Bacteria
Description: partial 16S ribosomal RNA
Rfam family: Bacterial small subunit ribosomal RNA
Source: RNAcentral
AGUGAACGCUGGCGGUAGGCCUAACACAUGCAAGUCGAACGGCAGCACAGUAAGAGCUUGCUCUUACGGGUGGCGAGUGGCGGACGGGUGAGGAAUACAUCGGACUCUACUUUUUCGUGGGGGAUAACGUAGGGAAACUUACGCUAAUACCGCAUACGACCUACGGGUGAAAGCAGUGGAUCUUCGGACCUUGCGCGAUUGAAUGAGCCGAUGUCGGAUUAGCUAGUUGGCGGGGUAAAGGCCCACCAAGUCGACGAUCCGUAGCUGGUGUGAGAGGAUGAUCGGCCACACUGGAACUGAGACACGGUCCAGACUCCUACGGGAGGCAGCAGUGGGGAAUAUUGGACAAUGGGCGCAAGCCUGAUCCAGCCAUACCGCGUGGGUGAAGAAGGCCUUCGGGUUGUAAAGCCCUUUUGUUGGGAAAGAAAAGCAGCAGGUUAAUACCCCGCUGUUCUGACGGUACCCAAAGAAUAAGCACCGGCUAACUUCGUG